GACGAACGCUGGCGGCGUGCUUAACACAUGCAAGUCGAGCGGAGCGGCGAACGGGUGAGUAACGCGUGAGUAACUGCCCCCCUCUCUGGGAUACCAGUUGGAAACGGCUGCUCAUACCGACUAGUGGGGGAUGACUCGCGUCUUAUCAGCUUGUUGGUGGGGUAGUGGCCUACUAAGGCGACGACGGGUAGCCGGCCAGGGCGGGCGACCGGCCACAUUGGGCUGAGAGACGGCCCAAGAUCGAACGGGAGGCAGCAGUGGAGAAUAUUGCACAAUGGUGGAAACCCUGAGACAGAGGUCCGGGUGCGGAAUGACGGCUUUCGAGUUGUAAACAGCUUUCAGCCAUGACGCGGUAGUGGCAGAGGAAGCAACGGCGAACUACGUGCCAGCAGCCGCGGUAAUUC
This 404-nucleotide ribosomal RNA is filed under the name uncultured bacterium. RNAcentral describes it as "partial 16S ribosomal RNA". It matches the Rfam family "Bacterial small subunit ribosomal RNA", at positions 28 to 526 of the family's 1533-position model. The record is from RNAcentral.